UAGCCCCGGCGGCUGCAGGACGCGCGGAGGCCGGCCGGGCGGGAGGGGCGGGGCGGGCGCCGCUGUCCGCCGAGAGCUCGGACUUGUACA
RNAcentral lists this small RNA (90 nucleotides) under Callithrix jacchus (white-tufted-ear marmoset). Its description in RNAcentral is "GRIK4 3 prime UTR element". It matches the Rfam family "GRIK4 3 prime UTR element". The record is from Rfam by way of RNAcentral. Lineage: Eukaryota; Metazoa; Chordata; Mammalia; Primates; Cebidae.